This 361-nucleotide long non-coding RNA is filed under the name Capsella rubella. Its description in RNAcentral is "long non-coding RNA (CRUB_LNC004641)". Lineage: Eukaryota; Viridiplantae; Streptophyta; Magnoliopsida; Brassicales; Brassicaceae. The record is from RNAcentral.
GAUGUUUUCGCAGAAGAAAACUUCUUCCCACUUUUGUUGAAGCGUCACGCUGUAAAACGUUGAUUUCUUCAUUUGAUCUUUUACAUCUCCUUCCAUAACAAACAUGAAAGGAACAUACCAUUUCCCUACUACAACACUCUUACCUAUACUAGUAAGGUCUGAGUCUAAGCGAAGCUUUGUGAUAAUCCCUUUUGCAUCAUCUACUAGACCAAAGUCUUGUGAAGUCGAGUAACUGACCGACCAAUGUUUUCUCUUCAGGUAAUAUGGUGGCACACCAUCAGAAGCAACUGAAGUGGCAGAGUAAUAGAGAGAUGAUGGUCGGCUUGAAUGAAUCUCGAAUUGUUGGUAUAUAUCAUACGGA